This 253-nucleotide ribosomal RNA is filed under the name uncultured cyanobacterium. Its description in RNAcentral is "partial 16S ribosomal RNA". It matches the Rfam family "Bacterial small subunit ribosomal RNA", at positions 524 to 776 of the family's 1533-position model. Lineage: Bacteria; Bacillati; Cyanobacteriota. The record is from RNAcentral. RNAcentral also lists the same sequence under 1 other name.
GACGGAGGAUGCAAGCGUUAUCCGGAAUGAUUGGGCGUAAAGCGUCUGUAGGUGGUUUAUUAAGUCUGCUGUUAAAGCACAGGGCUCAACCCUGUAUAGGCGGUAGAAACUGGUAGGCUUGAGUAUGGUAGGGGUAGAGGGAAUUCCCGAUGUAGUGGUGAAAUGCGUUGAUAUCGGGAAGAACACCAAAGGCGAAAGCACUCUGCUGGGCCAAUACUGACACUGAGAGACGAAAGCUAGGGGAGCAAAUGGG